RNAcentral lists this non-coding RNA (204 nucleotides) under Leptotrichiaceae bacterium. RNAcentral describes it as "6S RNA". It matches the Rfam family "6S / SsrS RNA". From Rfam's summary of the family: E. coli 6S RNA was the first non coding RNA to be sequenced, but its function was unknown until recently. The record is from RNAcentral. Lineage: Bacteria; Fusobacteriati; Fusobacteriota; Fusobacteriia; Fusobacteriales; Leptotrichiaceae.
GUUGAUCUGGUCUAUACGACAUUAACAUACAAAUUUUUGGGCUUUACUCGUUCAUAAUGGGGGCUAAUCUUUAUAAAGUGAAGCAGGGUUAUCACGGCGGUUGUUACAACUUUGCACGGAUUCUGUACAUUUUAUAAAUAUGCUUACCACCUGUAAGAAUACAGGCGACCAAAAAUUUCGUUAAAUCGGUAGAUUGGAUCUUUU